UUCCUGGUGGCUCAGUGGUAAAGAAUCUGCCUGCCAGUGCAGGAGACAUGGGUUUGAAUCUAAUCCAGGAAG
Molecule: transfer RNA, 72 nt
Filed under: Bos taurus (domestic cattle)
Lineage: Eukaryota; Metazoa; Chordata; Mammalia; Artiodactyla; Bovidae
Also listed under: 1 other name
Rfam family: tRNA
About the family: Transfer RNA (tRNA) molecules are approximately 80 nucleotides in length. Their secondary structure includes four short double-helical elements and three loops (D, anti-codon, and T loops).
Source: Rfam by way of RNAcentral